GGAAGCUUAUAAGAUGAGCCAGCUGUUCUUGGGUGGCCAUUUUCAGUUAAGUGACAUGCUAACAUAAAUUAAGCAUAUGUGGUUUGAGAACUGUUUUGUAAAGAACUUCCUUACAAGUGAAUCUAGACUUUUUUUUUUUUUUUUUUUUUGAGAUGGAGUUUCAUUCUUGUUGCCCAGGCUGGAGUGCAAUGGCGUGAUCUCAGCUCAUUGCAACCUCUGCCUCCCAGGUUCAGGUGAUUCUCCUGCCUAAGCCUCCUGAGUAGCUGGGAUUACAGGCACUCGCCACAACGCCCAGUUAAGUUUUGUAUUUUUAGUAGAGACGGGGUUUCACCAUGUUGGCCAGGCUGGUCUCAAACUCCUGACCUCAGGUGAUCCACCCGCCUUGGCCUCUGUAAUUGAUAGAGUUACAGACGUGAGCCACCAAGCCCAGCCCACUAGACAAGUUUUAAGAUCAUGUGCUUCCCAACAUGAAGAGUUCAAAAAUAGACCAGAGGACCAUCAUCCUGGGUGUUGUGGAGGAAAUUCCACACUGAGUGAGUGGUGAAUGCUGCUGACCUGGAAGGUGAUCCUAUGCCAAAAAUGGAUGGUUUUUGGACCAGUCGUCAUGGCAUAAUUACAAUAGGUUUUAUUUCAUCCUUGAAAGUUUCUAUGAAAAUCAUCUUCCUAGAAAUAGAAGAGCUGACAAUAACAAGCCCUAAACCUAAGCUAAGAAACCUGAAUCCUAGUUCUGCCUGUGUCAUUAACUAUGGACCUUGGGUGCAGGCUAUUUCCACCUGCUGAGCUGAGGUGGGA
This 792-nucleotide long non-coding RNA is filed under the name Homo sapiens (human). Its description in RNAcentral is "HSALNT0113408". The record is from RNAcentral. Lineage: Eukaryota; Metazoa; Chordata; Mammalia; Primates; Hominidae.